UGAACUAUAGCUCAAUGGUAGAGCGCUCCACUCAUAAUGGAUUGAUCUCGGUUCAAUUCCGAGUAGUUCAA
RNAcentral lists this transfer RNA (71 nucleotides) under Candida albicans. It matches the Rfam family "tRNA". From Rfam's summary of the family: Transfer RNA (tRNA) molecules are approximately 80 nucleotides in length. Their secondary structure includes four short double-helical elements and three loops (D, anti-codon, and T loops). RNAcentral also lists the same sequence under 2 other names. The record is from Rfam by way of RNAcentral. Lineage: Eukaryota; Fungi; Ascomycota; Pichiomycetes; Serinales; Debaryomycetaceae.